CCCUUAGAUGUUCUGGGCUGCACGCGCGCUACACUGAAGCGUUCAACGAGUAUUCACCUUGCCCAGGAGGGUUGGGUAAUCUUUUGAAAACGCUUCGUGAUGGGGAUAGAUUAUUGCAAUUAUUAAUCUUCAACGAGGAAUUCCUAGUAAGCGCGAGUCAUCAGCUCGUGCUGAUUACGUCCCUGCCCUUUGUACACACCGCCCGUCGCUCCUACCGAUUGAAUGGUCCGGUGAAGCGUUCGGACCGUGGCCUUUGGACGGUUCGCCGUCUGUUGGCUGCGGGAAGUUCGUUAAACCUUAUCAUUUAGAGGAAGGAGAAGUCGUANCA
This 328-nucleotide ribosomal RNA is filed under the name uncultured eukaryote. RNAcentral describes it as "partial 18S ribosomal RNA". It matches the Rfam family "Eukaryotic small subunit ribosomal RNA", at positions 1470 to 1796 of the family's 1831-position model. The record is from RNAcentral.